Molecule: ribosomal RNA, 253 nt
Filed under: uncultured bacterium
Lineage: Bacteria
Description: partial 16S ribosomal RNA
Rfam family: Bacterial small subunit ribosomal RNA
Source: RNAcentral
UACGUAGGGUGCAAGCGUUGUUCGGAAUUACUGGGCGUAAAGGGUUCGUAGGUGGCCAACUAAGUCAGACGUGAAAUCCCUCAGCUCAACUGGGGAACUGCGUCUGAUACUGGUUGGCUUGAGUGCAGGAGAGGAACGCGGAAUUCCAGGUGUAGCGGUGAAAUGCGUAGAUAUCUGGAGGAACACCGGUGGCGAAGGCGGCGUUCUGGACUGUAACUGACACUGAUGAACGAAAGCCAGGGGAGCAAACGGG